Molecule: transfer RNA, 86 nt
Organism: Stereum hirsutum FP-91666 SS1
Lineage: Eukaryota; Fungi; Basidiomycota; Agaricomycetes; Russulales; Stereaceae
Rfam family: tRNA
About the family: Transfer RNA (tRNA) molecules are approximately 80 nucleotides in length. Their secondary structure includes four short double-helical elements and three loops (D, anti-codon, and T loops). Further hydrogen bonds mediate the characteristic L-shaped molecular structure. tRNAs have two regions of fundamental functional importance: the anti-codon, which is responsible for specific mRNA codon recognition, and the 3' end, to which the tRNAs corresponding amino acid is attached (by aminoacyl-tRNA synthetases). tRNAs cope with the degeneracy of the genetic code in two manners: having more than one tRNA (with a specific anti-codon) for a particular amino acid; and 'wobble' base-pairing, i.e. permitting non-standard base-pairing at the 3rd anti-codon position.
Source: Rfam
GGCCAUAUCGUAUAGCGGUUUAGUACACGGGAUUUUGACGACUGUGCAAUCUUCCCGUAACCCAGGUUCGAACCCUGGUAUGGCCU